This 497-nucleotide ribosomal RNA is filed under the name uncultured bacterium. RNAcentral describes it as "partial 16S ribosomal RNA". It matches the Rfam family "Bacterial small subunit ribosomal RNA", at positions 28 to 507 of the family's 1533-position model. The record is from RNAcentral.
GACGAACGCUGGCGGCGUGCCUAAUACAUGCAAGUAGAACGCUGAAGAGAGGAGCUUGCUCUUCUUGGAUGAGUUGCGAACGGGUGAGUAGCGCGUAGGUAACCUGCCUUGUAGCGGGGGAUAACUAUUGGAAACGAUAGCUAAUACCGCAUAACAAUGGAUGACACAUGUCAUUUAUUUGAAAGGGGCAAUUGCUCCACUACAAGAUGGACCUGCGUUGUAUUAGCUAGUAGGUGAGGUAACGGCUCACCUAGGCGACGAUACAUAGCCGACCUGAGAGGGUGAUCGGCCACACUGGGACUGAGACACGGCCCAGACUCCUACGGGAGGCAGCAGUAGGGAAUCUUCGGCAAUGGGGGCAACCCUGACCGAGCAACGCCGCGUGAGUGAAGAAGGUUUUCGGAUCGUAAAGCUCUGUUGUAAGUCAAGAACGAGUGUGAGAGUGGAAAGUUCACACUGUGGCGGUAGCUUACCAGAAAGGGACGGCUAACUACGUG